AUGGCGUAUGCAAGUGAUGAGAGUAUGUUCGAGUAUGUAAAUGUUGUCAGCAAGAUGUUUGAUAGUGAGGCUGAAGGCUAUGAAUUCUACAACAAAUAUGCUCUUGAAAAAGGUUUUAGUGUGAGGAAAAGCUACGUUGAGUGGGAUGGAUCCAACAAAUACAUAAUUUUAAGGAAAAUUGUGUGUAGUCGUCAAGGGUUUCGCGAAGAUAAGCACAUGAAAAGAAAGAUGGAAGAUAGAAAGAGGAGGCCACGAAGUUUAACUCGUGUUGGGUGUAAUGCUAAAUUGGUCAUUACGAGACAGGAGGAAACCGGUCGGUGGUUUGUCAAGGAUUUCAUUGAUGAGCACAGCCAUCCUCUAGCCCCACGGGAUCUUCCUUGUCUGCUGCGUUCGCACAGACGAAUUAGCGGUGAGCAGAAAGCGGACAUUGCGGACAUGGAAAAAUGUGGGAUCCGCAAAUACCGUAUUAUGGAUAUUUUGUGCUUUCAAUACGGUGGAUUUGAUAAGGAAAGAAUGGAUAAAAAGUUUGGAGUGCGCAUUGAAGAGCAAGGAGGUCUUUUGCACAGGAGGUACCGCGAGUUGCAUAAUUGUAGUCACGCCGCAAGUUUCCAGGCAUGCCACUCUGAUGAGGACUAUCACCGUCUAAAGAUGCUUUUGCAAGCACAACAUCAUGGCAAGCAAUCAAGUUUUGAACAAGCUGACAGCAAGGAGUCAACUAAUGCUCAGCAUAACAGCAUUAGGUUUGGCCCGUUGAUGCCGCACUCGCAGAAAGUUGAUAAGGUUCUGAAUCCCAUGCAUGUGCCAGGAUGA
This 810-nucleotide ribosomal RNA is filed under the name Triticum aestivum (bread wheat). RNAcentral's name for it is "partial small subunit ribosomal RNA". Lineage: Eukaryota; Viridiplantae; Streptophyta; Magnoliopsida; Poales; Poaceae. The record is from RNAcentral.